GACGAACGCUGGCGGCGUGCUUAACACAUGCAAGUCGAACGGUAAGGCCCUUCGGGGUACACGAGUGGCGAACGGGUGAGUAACACGUGGGUGAUCUGCCCUGCACUUCGGGAUAAGCCUGGGAAACUGGGUCUAAUACCGGAUAGGACCACUGCCUGCAUGGGUGGUGGUGGAAAGCUUUUGCGGUGUGGGAUGGGCCCGCGGCCUAUCAGCUUGUUGGUGGGGUGAUGGCCUACCAAGGCGACGACGGGUAGCCGGCCUGAGAGGGUGACCGGCCACACUGGGACUGAGAUACGGCCCAGACUCCUACGGGAGGCAGCAGUAGGGAAUAUUGCACAAUGGGCGCAAGCCUGAUGCAGCGACGCCGCGUGAGGGAUGACGGCCUUCGGGUUGUAAACCUCUUUCAGCACCGACGAAGCGCAAGUGACGGUAGGUGCAGAAGAAGGACUGGCCAACUACGUGCCAGCAGCCGCCGUAA
RNAcentral lists this ribosomal RNA (478 nucleotides) under uncultured bacterium. Its description in RNAcentral is "partial 16S ribosomal RNA". It matches the Rfam family "Bacterial small subunit ribosomal RNA", at positions 28 to 523 of the family's 1533-position model. The record is from RNAcentral.